GAUGAACGCUGGCGGCGUGCCUAAUACAUGCAAGUCGAGCGAACGGACGAGAAGUUUGUUCCGCUGAUGUUAGCGGCGGAAGGGUGUGUAACACAUGGAUAACCUACCUAUCAGACUGGGAUAACUCCGGGAAACCGGAGCUAAUACCGGAUAAUAUUUUGAACCGCAUGGUGCAAAAGUGAAAGACGGUCUUGCUGUCACUUAUAGAUGGAUCCGCGCUGCAUUAGCUAGUUGGUAAGGUACCGGCUUACAAAGGGAACGAUGGCCAGCCGACGUGCGAGGCUGAUCGCCCCUCACGUAACUGACACGCGACCAAUAAUCCUUCGAAAGGCCGCAGUCGGCGAUCUUCCUCCACGGGCGAUAGCAUCACGGAGCAACGCCGCGUCCGUGAUGACGGCCUUCGGAUCGUAACACUCUGUUAUGAGGAGAGAACAAAUGUUCACGUAGCUGUGGACGGCUUGACGGUACCUAAUCAGGAAGCCACGGCUAACUACGUG
This 497-nucleotide ribosomal RNA is filed under the name uncultured bacterium. RNAcentral's name for it is "partial 16S ribosomal RNA". It matches the Rfam family "Bacterial small subunit ribosomal RNA", at positions 28 to 507 of the family's 1533-position model. The record is from RNAcentral.